Molecule: ribosomal RNA, 542 nt
Filed under: uncultured bacterium
Lineage: Bacteria
Description: bacterial SSU rRNA
Rfam family: Bacterial small subunit ribosomal RNA
Source: RNAcentral
AAUAGAUACCCUGGUAGUCCACGCCGUAAACGAUGAGUGCUAAGUGUUAGGGGUUUCCGCCCCUUAGUGCUGCAGCUAACGCAUUAAGCACUCCGCCUGGGGAGUACGGUCGCAAGACUGAAACUCAAAGGAAUUGACGGGGGCCCGCACAAGCGGUGGAGCAUGUGGUUUAAUUCGAAGCAACGCGAAGAACCUUACCAGGUCUUGACAUCCCACUGACCGCUAUGGAGACAUAGUUUUCCCUUCGGGGACAGUGGUGACAGGUGGUGCAUGGUUGUCGUCAGCUCGUGUCGUGAGAUGUUGGGUUAAGUCCCGCAACGAGCGCAACCCUUGAUUUUAGUUGCCAUCAUUUAGUUGGGCACUCUAAGGUGACUGCCGGUGACAAACCGGAGGAAGGUGGGGAUGACGUCAAAUCAUCAUGCCCCUUAUGACCUGGGCUACACACGUGCUACAAUGGACGGUACAAACGGUUGCCAACCCGCGAGGGGAGCUAAUCCGAUAAAACCGUUCUCAGUUCGGAUUGUAGGCUGCAACUCGCCUAC